RNAcentral lists this small nucleolar RNA (76 nucleotides) under Cavia aperea (Brazilian guinea pig). Its description in RNAcentral is "U8 small nucleolar RNA (ENSCAPG00000003698.1)". The record is from RNAcentral. Lineage: Eukaryota; Metazoa; Chordata; Mammalia; Rodentia; Caviidae.
AGAACGUGAUCACUGGAGUUCCCAUAAUAUGUAAUUAAAAUCUCCAUGUAAUCAAGAAUUGCAAUACCCUGAUGGC